Molecule: ribosomal RNA, 892 nt
Filed under: uncultured archaeon
Lineage: Archaea
Description: bacterial SSU rRNA
Rfam family: Archaeal small subunit ribosomal RNA
Source: RNAcentral
AUUGCUAUCGGGGUGAGACUAAGCCAUGCGAGUUGAGCGCUUCUUAGCUAUGUUGGAAGAGCAGCAAACGGCUCAAUAACACGUGGUCAAUCUGCCCUUAGGACGGAAAUAACCCUGGGAAACUGGGACUAAUGGCCGAUAGAUGAAGAUGCCUGGAAUGGUUUUUCAUUUAAAAGUUCUUAGAAACAUGCUUUUAAGAAUGCCUAAGGAUGAGACUGCGCCCGAUCAGGCUGUUGGUGGGGUCACGGCCCACCAAACCUAUAACCGGUACGGGCCCUGAAAGGGGGAGCCCGGAGAUGGGAACUGAGAUAAGGUCCCAGGCCCUACGGGGCGCAGCAGGCGCGAAACCUCCACAAUGCGCGAAAGCGUGAUGGGGUUACCCCGAGUGCUAUCCGAUGAGGAUCGCUUUUACCCAGUGUAAGGAUCUGGGGGAAUAAAGGGGGGGCAAGACUGGUGUCAGCCGCCGCGGUAAUACCAGCCCCCUGAGUGAUAGGGACGAUUAUUUGGCCUAAAGCGUUCGUAGCCGGCCCGAUAAGUCCCCCGUGAAAUCCGGCGACUUAAUCGUCGGGCGUGCGGGGGAUACUGUCAGGCUAGAGGGCGGGAGAGGUUGACGGUAGUCCCGGGGUAGGGGUGAAAUCCUAUAAUCCCGGGAGGACCACCAGAGGCGAAGGCGGUCAACUAGAACGCGCCUGACGGUGAGGGACGAAAGCUGGGGGAGCGAACCGGAUUAGACACCCGGGUAGUCCCAGCUGUAAACGAUGCGGGCUAGGUGUUGGGGCAGCUACGAGCUGUUCCAGUGCCGCAGAGAAGUUGUUAAGCCCGCCGCCUGGGAAGUACGGCCGCAAGGCUGAAACUUAAAGGAAUUGGCGGGGGAGCACCACAAGGGGUGAAG